AGUCCUGCCUGACUACAAGGAGGAAGAGGUUGGCGUUGUCGGGGUGGAUGACGUGGAAGUGCUUCAGGCUGCUGAACUGCUGUUGUUCACCGUGGACGAACAAAGUCGUAAAGACACACACAUGCACAAACAGGACCUACACAUGCACAAAGUGGAGAGAUGUCAGAGUGAGGAGGCUGCCUUGGUCAGGCGCCCCAGGUGGUUGGAGGGUUCAGUGCCUUGCUCAAGGGCACCUCAGCAGUGCCCAGGAGGUAAACUGGCACCUCUCCAGCCACCAGUCCACGCUCCAUAUUUGGUCCGGACGGGGACUCAAACAGGCGACCCUCCAGUUCCCAACCCAAGUCCCUAUAGACUGAGCUACUGAGAAAUUAAGUAAUGUAUUAUAUUAUGUGAACCAGCUACAUACUGUAUACAAUUCCAGUUUAUUCAUAUUUCAUGCGUAUAGUCAUUCAAAAAUAAUUUUCAACCAUUUCUUUAUUUGACAAAUUUGUUUUACUAAGUUUUCUAGUCUUACUAACCAUUUUUGACUUUCCUCUUAUCUCACUCCCCCACCUGAGCUGCUGCUGUUCACUGCGGACUAAUAAAAGGUGAGUACGAGCUUCUGACCUGUUAUUUUGUAAGCCUGGUUCUCCAUGUAAUGUGAUUUAUUCAGUAAAUAAAAUAUUAUUUGAUUUACUAACCAUUAUCUCUCUUUCUCCACCACCUGAGCUGCUGCUGUUCACUGUGGACUAAAGGACAUUCCCUGCAUCUUUUAAUUGGAGAGACUCAGUGUUCCUGCAGUGCACCCAGUGUUACCUCAACAAGACAGCUGGAGAGAAGUGGUCAUCUGUGUUUCAGUCCACUAAGGCAGGACUCCUCUUGUGUCCAGGGGCCCCUGAGAUGGGAUGUGAACCAAACUGCACAAAGCCAGCAUCACAACCAUCCACUGAAC
Molecule: long non-coding RNA, 931 nt
Organism: Epinephelus fuscoguttatus (brown-marbled grouper)
Lineage: Eukaryota; Metazoa; Chordata; Actinopteri; Perciformes; Serranidae
Exons: 5
Source: RefSeq, a predicted model, not a curated record